RNAcentral lists this ribosomal RNA (584 nucleotides) under uncultured bacterium. RNAcentral describes it as "partial 16S ribosomal RNA". It matches the Rfam family "Bacterial small subunit ribosomal RNA", at positions 355 to 1375 of the family's 1533-position model. The record is from RNAcentral.
UGGGGAAUUUUGGACAAUGGGCGAAAGCCUGAUCCAGCAAUGCCGCGUGUGUGGAGAAGGCCUUCGGGUUGUAAAGCACUUUUGUCCGGAAAGAAAUCCUUGGCUCUAAUACAGUCGGGGGAUGACGGUACCGGAAGAAUAAGCACCGGCUAACUACGUGCCAGCAGCCGCGGUAAUACGUAGGGUGCAAGCGUUAAUCGGAAUUACUGGGCGUAAAGCGUGCGCAGGCGGUUUGCUAAGACCGAUGUGAAAUCCCCGGGCUCAACCUGGGAACUGCAUUGGUGACUGGCAGGCUAGAGUAUGGCAGAGGGGGGUAGAAUUCCACGUGUAGCAGUGAAAUGCGUAGAGAUGUGGAGGAAUACCGAUGGCGAAGGCAGCCCCCUGGGCCAAUACUGACGCUCAUGCACGAAAGCGUGGGGAGCAAACAGGAUUAGAUACCCUGGUAGUCCACGCCCUAAACGAUGUCAACUAGUUGUUGGGGAUUCAUUUCCUAGUAACGUAGCUAACGCGUGAAGUUGACCGCCUGGGGAGUACGGUCGCAAGAUUAAAACUCAAAUGAAUUGACGGGGUCAUAGCUGUUUCCU